Molecule: long non-coding RNA, 2962 nt
Filed under: Homo sapiens (human)
Lineage: Eukaryota; Metazoa; Chordata; Mammalia; Primates; Hominidae
Description: HSALNT0351414
Source: RNAcentral
GGGUUGUUUGCUAACAAACAAUUUUUAAUCAUGAAGGUACUGUUAACAUUUUAUCAAAAGCUUUUUAUAGAUUUAUUAUUAUGGCCAUAUGAUUGUUCUGUGUUAUUCUAUUCUUUGGUGGAUUAUAUUGAUCAGUUUCAAAUGUUGACUCAAUCUUCCUGCUCUUGAUAAAUUCUACUUUGUGAUAAUGUAUGUUAAUUUUUCUUCUGUAGUGUCUUUCAAUGUGUUUCAAGUUCUACUGUAAUGUGAAUUUCUGGAUUUCGAAUUUCAAUUUUUGUUAAGCAAUGUCAACUGUGUUUUCUAAUCUGGUUCCAGAGGGCACAUAACUUUGCUUAUCAGGGGCAGUGGUGCUCAUCAGAUUCCAUCUGUUCCCUCACCACCUUCCCCACCCCUGAAAUUAGUCAGGGCUGUUUGGCAGGUUUUUGGUCAAUGGGCUGUGAGUGGAAGUCACCUGGACCAUUUUGAAGCCAAAGCAUAAAAGAGCUGGUGCAUGACACUCCAGCUCACUCACUCCUCCCCUGCAAACUGUGGUUAUGGGGUUUUCAUGCUCCAGAUGAUAUAGUGCCAAGGUGGUGUUGUCAUUCUCAGCUCACUUUCCCAAAGUCUAUGUGGACCAAACCCUCUAAUGUCUUACAAUAUAAGUUGAUCAUAAACAGAAAAUAAACUUAAUUUUAUGAAGCCACUGAAUCUUUAAGGUUAUUGGUUACUGCAGCAUAGAGCAGCUCAAUCUGAUCAAUACUAAUCAUGGAAAUUGAGAAUAUAACAUUUUUAUCAUAAAAUUAAAACAAUAAAUGUUUGCAGAAAUUAAUGGAGUAUUUAUAUAAUGCAUUCAGCAGAGGAGCUCACUCAGUAAUUAUCAACAGUAGCUAUACACAAGAUGGAAAGCAUAACAAUGGAAAUAAAAUAGUUUUAAUUGCUAACAGUCAUUAAAUUUCAUAGGUCUCAUCUUCAAUGCAGUAGUGGUAUUUCAAGCAAAUUGAAAUAAAUUAUUUAACUUAUUUAUUACUUUAUUCAACAUAUAUUUUAUUGACUACUGACUAUAUUCUAUUCUAAGAAUAAAAUAGUUCCUCUUCUCAUUUAAGAAAGAGUGAUAUAAAGAUUCGUGUAUCUACAUUUAAAGGAGCUCAGUAAUCAUGUAUAGAGACAAUAUGGAUACAAAAUUCACUGACAACUGGCUUCACUGGUCCUUCCUAACCAUACUCUGAAGAUUGUAUCCAUUUUAUUCCUUUGCCCUUCUAAAAGCAACACUCCUAAUGUCCAGCAAACCAGUCCAAAGGCAAAGAGCCAAGGGAGGAAGGGACAGCAGCAAAGGAUAGCACUACUCCACUGUACAAUCAGUUCUUUAUAAAACAGAAUUGACUGUGAAUUGAAAUGCUUCAUUAAAUUACCUGUUAUUCAGAGGCAAUCCUCUCAGCCAUUUUGGAGAGAGCACAAAAAUAAAGUAUAAAUUUCUACAAGUUUUUUCUUCAUUUCUGACCUUUUUACAUAAAUUAAACUACUUUACCAGACACCUGGGAGGAAGAUAAAUACCUAUGGCUAAUACUUAAGUUGGGUUGACUUCUGGUUUCUGUUCUAGCUCUAAUGAAGAAAUGGUGGUGACAAUUCUAGAAAAGAAAAUGCCAAAGAUGGAAAACCUUUAAAAUAUAACUUAAAGGUGAAGAAGACCACCUGGACCGGCCACCAUGCAAGAUCAAAGAAAAGGCCCAAAAUAUGGCAAAAGUAUUGAUUACAAGAGUACUAUUUAAUAAACAUCCUAUAUGCUAAACUCUGUUUUAGAGUUUGGUUCCUGGGGUACUCAAAUUGUGCACCUGCCAAGCAAAGCAAUGAUUUGUUAUAAAGCCUUUCCAUAUCUGCAGUAAAGAAGGUAGUUUUACAUAACAAUGAUGACUAUGGGCACUGGAAUUAGCAAGUCCUGGAUUUGAACCUUGGCUUUGCCACUUACUAGCUGUGUGGUCCCAGGAAACCAAAGUUCAGAGACAUAAACAAAAGAGAAAAAACCCACAAAACUUCCUCAAGUCAUAGGUCCAGUAAUAAGGUAAGCUGGGAAUUUAACUCACAUUUUCUGACACUAAAACUAUUGUUCAUUCUCCUGCACUAAGCUUCUACCAUAAUUUAUACACAAUGGACUUUACCUAAGGUUAAUAUAAUUUUGCAAUCACUAGACAAUUGGGAUCAUCUUCCUCUAUCUCUGAAGGUUGGUUCUAUUCGGAUUAUGUUGUGGUUGAGAGGUUUUAUUACAGCUACCAUGUAUUUACCCUAGGCUGAAAUAAUGCAAGCAAUUUUAAUGGAGUGCCAAUUAUAUGCAAAUUUCUGUCCCAGUACUGGUGGAGAAGAAAACAAACAUUUAUGAAUAAAAUCAUCAUCAAAGGAUCUCUUUGUUCAGAUUUUUAGAGAAUAAUAUGAUAUUGCAGAUGCAAUCUUACCUUCAGAUAUUACAUUGAAAUAUUGCCAGUGGCAUGGCAUCUAUCCAAUAACUGGCUUAACUUCCCCUAAAUACAAGCUAUGCUUUAGUUAAACAAAUAUUUAUUGUGUGCCAACCAUGGACUCGGUAUUCGGGGCACAAUAACGAACAAGGCAUGCAGUGAAGGUAUUGUCCUCAUCAAGUUUACAAUGUAGAGGAAGAUGGGAUACAAGAAGAGCGUAUACAAGAGAACAGAAAAGUGAGCAAAAGAAUGAUAAGAGAUGUAAGGAAAAUUUUAAAGAAUGAAGGGAUAGAGAUUGAAUUGGGAGGUUAUUUUGAAUUAUAUGGUAAUUCAAUUAGAUGAAUUUUUUUUUCUAAUUGAAUUAGAUGGAGAAUCUUUUUCUAAUGAGGUAACACUUGGACUGAGACCUGAUGAAUACUGAAGGAGAGUACUAGAAAAUCCCAGGCAGAGUGUUAUUAGUAGCCAGAGGAAUUGGGCAAUUAGAGAAAGAAAUAAAAGGCAUCAAACUUGGAAGGGGCAAACUUAAAUUGUCCCUGUUU